AUUGAACGCUGGCGGCAUGCCUUACCCAUGCAAGUCGAACGGUAACGCGGGGCAACCUGGCGACGAGUGGCGAACGGGUGAGUAAUACAUCGGAACGUGCCCAGUAGUGGGGGGAUAGCCCGGCGAAAGCCGGAUUAAUACCGCAUACGACCUACGGGUGAAAGCAGGGGAUCGCAAGACCUUGCGCUAUUGGAGCGGCCGAUGUCAGAUUAGGUUGUUGGUGGGGUAAAAGCCUACCAAGCCGACGAUCUGUAGCUGGUCUGAGAGGACGACCAGCCACACUGGGACUGAGACACGGCCCAGACUCCUACGGAGGCAGCAGUGGGGAAUUUUGGACAAUGGGCGCAAGCCUGAUCCAGCCAUGCCGCGUGCGGGAAGAAGGCC
Molecule: ribosomal RNA, 384 nt
Filed under: uncultured bacterium
Lineage: Bacteria
Description: bacterial SSU rRNA
Rfam family: Bacterial small subunit ribosomal RNA
Source: RNAcentral